GAUGAAGAACGUAGCGAAAUGCGAUAAGUAAUGUGAAUUGCAGAAUUCAGUGAAUCAUCGAAUCUUUAAACGCACAUUGCGCCCGCCAGUAUUCUGGCGAGCAUGCCUGUUCGAGCGUCAUUUCAACCAUCAAGCCCCAGGCUUGUGUUGGAGCCCUGCGGCUGCCGCAGCCUCCCAAAACCAGUGGCGGGCUCGCUAUCACACCGAGUGCAGUAGUUUACUCUUCGCUCAGGGCGUGUGGCGGGUGCUAGCCGUGAAACCCCCAACUUCUCAAGGUUGACCUCGGAUCAGGUAGGAAUACCCGCUGAACUUAAGCAUAUCAAUAAGCGGAGGA
This 334-nucleotide unclassified non-coding RNA is filed under the name soil metagenome. RNAcentral describes it as "partial contains 5.8S ribosomal RNA, internal transcribed spacer 2, and large subunit ribosomal RNA". The stretch from base 1 to 120 matches the Rfam family "5.8S ribosomal RNA", at positions 35 to 154 of the family's 154-position model. The record is from RNAcentral.